Long non-coding RNA from Lathyrus oleraceus (garden pea), 1749 nucleotides. RefSeq lists it as uncharacterized. The transcript is spliced from 3 exons. Lineage: Eukaryota; Viridiplantae; Streptophyta; Magnoliopsida; Fabales; Fabaceae. The record is from RefSeq and is a predicted model, not a curated record.
UUGACUUGGAAAAAGUAAGCGACAUUUGAAUGUCCAAAUGCGCUUCCUCUAUCAGACCAUCUCAUCGGACCUCCACCAAUGGGCCACCGCGCCAGAGGUUGCCUCCAGCAGCGGUGGUGCACCUGAGCUAAGGUAAAGGCCACCAUUCGCUACGCAAUGACAUGCUGGUUAUGAAUAUGGGGAUAUGUUCACGAAUUUUCAAAGGACAAAACCUAAUCGAAGGCAAACAACUGAAGAACCCUAGGUGGUUCCAGUCAAAUUAAAUGGCAACUGUGAGGAAUCAACGCCUACAACAUUAGGGCUUGGACUCCGCUCCCCGGAUCCUACAUCUUGGUAACCAGGAAAAAGAAAAAUGCAAUUGUUCAAAGUUAACUCACCAGAUAAAUAGAUCGAAGACACGUAUCAGGUGUUAGAUGGCAUGUUGAUGCAGGGACAGUCAUGGUGUUGCAAGGCAAGCAGGGCAAAUGUUUAUUGCUGCAGAAUCAUGGACUUGUGAUGCCUUGAUGAUGAUAACAUGGUGGUAUGGAAUGAUAUGCAUUGCAGGGCCAAGGUAAGGUUUCAGGUUGCAACAAGCAAGGGCAAAAGGCCAAGUUUCAGCAAGUUAACAACAUGUGGUAAGUUUUGGUUUGUUGGCUUUUGACAAAUGGUUUUCAAUGUGUUUUAGGAAAUGUUUAUGUAAUGUAUGUGAUUGUAUGGUGUUGGAUUUGUUUUGCUUGAUACUUUGCCAUGAACAGUUUCAUUUCCUUGGUUGGUUUUGCUUUGUUUCCACUCUUGUUCUGUGGUUCAGUUUGUCUACUGCAGGGCCACUUGCAGGUUCAUCAUGGCAUUUUGAUUGGUGGCAUGACAGCAAAGUAAUGGCAUGUUUAUGUGCAAGAUGGUUCAAUUGGUUUGCAACAUGUUCAUUUCCAUUGCUGGUUUUGGGUUUAUUGCAGCAUGGCCAUAACUAGCUUCAUGUAGCAUGGUCCAAAUUAUGGCUUAUGGUUUGCAAUUCUGACUUGGUAAAGACAUUGCAGCUGGGUUCAUAGCAUUGUUUGAUGCAGGUACAUCAGAUCACCAGAAUAUUUGCCAAGUUAGUAGCAAAGGUUUUGUCAGCUACCUCGGAAAAGGUCAUAGUCAUCUUCAUUUGAUCAUUGAAUAAUCUUCCCUCAUGCUCACUACAAUCUGCUAAUGAUGGAGCUUGGAAAAGGUGUCCUUCCAUAACAACAUUCCCUUUUCAAGAGUGUAUGGACAAACUGUAUUUGCAGUAGACUGGUUUGUCUUGAUGUUGAACUGUCUUGCUCAUGGUUCUGGUGCAGCCAGGUUAGUGUAUAUUGCUCCUUAUGUUGUUCUGGUUUAUGCUAGCAUGUGCUUGUUGAUCAAUGCUUGGAUGGUUGUGUAGCAUGGUGCAUUGCAUCUUGGUUUGGUUUUGUAGGUUUGGUGGACAUGACCUUGAACAUGGGCAAUGUUACUUGUAAAUGAAGAAACAUGGUAAAAGUAAACCAACAUGACUUUUGGAUGAUGGAUCAAGGUAAAAAUGGAUGGGAUUAGGUCUUAGGUGGUCAAAAGGGGUGAGUUGACUUUGGUCAAAGUUGACCAAAAAGUCAAUUGUUGACCAAAGUCAACACUUGGUCAAAGUUGCCAAAAUUUGUAAUUUUUUAUGUAAUGGUCAUUAUAAUGGUUUGUAAAUGGUUACUUGAAUGGAAAUUGGUGUUUAUGAAUGAAAUGGUUCUUGAAUGAAGUCUUAUAUGAACUUGAAUGGAUUGAGUUUGA